CAGCCAUGGAGCUAAUAGAGACAACUGUCAGGUCCUAUGAAGCUGUGGAUUGUUUGCCUAAAAUGAAAAUACCUGUGUGCUUACUCUGGAUAAUUUUGCAGCUAAUAUAGUGGUUGUCCAAGUAAAUUGCAUCAUGAAGUCCAAAAAUUCCUGGAGCAGUAGAGGAAGUAGGAAUCCCUCGGCUGGAAGACAGAGAACAUGACUACCCUUCUGUCACUGUGCUUUUGUUCAAUUUAAACCAUCCUGAAAGUGUACCAGUAGUCAGCCUCUGUGGUGUUGGAGGAUCUUCUGAAUCUUAUGCUUUAAAGAUGCCUUUAAAAUGAAAGAGCCCAGAUUUACAGGCAGUUUUGUCAUCUUGGAUCUGUGAAAUUGGUUACCCUGGAAGAAGAAAGGACAGAUUAUGGGCCUGUAUGAGGAGUUGGAAGACUUCAGUAUAAUGUGGAGAUAUGUCAGGGAGAAGGAGCUGGAAGUACUUAGUGAUUUGUUCUAAUAGUUUAUUAUUAAAUAUCUGCGACAAUCUGUCCCCCAUUGAGCAAUCUAGUUUCUCUGUAGAUCUUUACCAGGAAUGAGGCAAAAUUUUUACCAGGAAUGAGGCAAAAGUUCCUUUCCUGUAAGAGAGAACAAAAGAGGUAAAUAGCUGAAACUAUGAAAUUAAAACUAUGGAUAGCAGUAAUGAGUUACAAUGUCAAACCUACUGAGGUUGUAUAAUCAAAAUUUCUUGCUGACAUUGAGGAAGUAAUACUUCAAUGAAAACUUGAGGGAAAGGAUGGAAUCUUUAUGUAAAAUCUGGCCUAAUAAAUUCAUAAUAUUCAUAUUUCUCCUCUAA
Molecule: non-coding RNA, 826 nt
Organism: Zonotrichia albicollis (white-throated sparrow)
Lineage: Eukaryota; Metazoa; Chordata; Aves; Passeriformes; Passerellidae
Source: RefSeq, a predicted model, not a curated record